RNAcentral lists this ribosomal RNA (253 nucleotides) under uncultured Lactobacillus sp. RNAcentral describes it as "partial 16S ribosomal RNA". It matches the Rfam family "Bacterial small subunit ribosomal RNA", at positions 524 to 776 of the family's 1533-position model. The record is from RNAcentral. Lineage: Bacteria; Bacillati; Bacillota; Bacilli; Lactobacillales; Lactobacillaceae.
UACGUAGGUGGCAAGCGUUAUCCGGAUUUAUUGGGCGUAAAGGGAACGCAGGCGGUCUUUUAAGUCUGAUGUGAAAGCCCCCGGCUUAACCGAGGAAUUGCAUCGGAAACUGUGUUUCUUGAGUGCAGAAGAGGAGAGUGGAACUCCAUGUGUAGCGGUGGAAUGCGUAGAUAUAUGGAAGAACACCAGUGGCGAAGGCGGCUCUCUGGUCUGUAACUGACGCUGAGGCUCGAAAGCAUGGGUAGCGAACAGG